GGAGCAAGACCGCGUGGGGGAGGAAAGCCUUUGGGUUGUAAACCCCUUUUCUCAGGGAAGAAGAAAGUGACGGUACCUGAGGAAUCAGCCUCGGCUAACUCCGUGCCAGCAGCCGCGGUAAUACGGAGGAGGCAAGCGUUAUCCGGAAUGAUUGGGCGUAAAGCGUUCGUAGGUGGCAAUUCAAGUCUGCUGUCAAAGACAGUAGCUCAACUACUGCAAGGCAGUGGAAACUGAAUAGCUAGAGUGCGGUAGGGGCAGAGGGAAUUCCCGGUGUAGCGGUGAAAUGCGUAGAGAUCGGGAAGAACACCGGUGGCGAAAGCGCUCUGCUGGGCCGCAACUGACACUGAGGGACGAAAGCUAGGGGAGCGAAUGGGAUUAGAUACCCCAGUAGUC
RNAcentral lists this ribosomal RNA (393 nucleotides) under uncultured cyanobacterium. RNAcentral's name for it is "bacterial SSU rRNA". It matches the Rfam family "Bacterial small subunit ribosomal RNA", at positions 388 to 795 of the family's 1533-position model. The record is from RNAcentral. Lineage: Bacteria; Bacillati; Cyanobacteriota.